This 524-nucleotide ribosomal RNA is filed under the name uncultured bacterium. RNAcentral's name for it is "bacterial SSU rRNA". It matches the Rfam family "Bacterial small subunit ribosomal RNA", at positions 777 to 1300 of the family's 1533-position model. The record is from RNAcentral.
AAUAGAUACCCUGGUAGUCCUGGCCGUAAACGAUGACCACUCACUAUGGGAGGGAUCGACCCCUUCCGUAGUGGAGCUAACGCAGUAAGUGGUCCGCCUGAGGAGUACGGUCGCAAGACUAAAACUCAAAGGAAUUGACGGGGACCCGCACAAGCAGCGGAGCGUGUGGUUUAAUUCGAAGCAACGCGAAGCACCUUACCAGGGCUUGACAUGCCGUCGCACCGCCCAGAGAUGGGCGUGCCCGCAAGGGACGGCGGCACAGGUGCUGCAUGGCUGUCGUCAGCUCGUGUCGUGAGAUGUUGGGUUAAGUCCCGCAACGAGCGCAACCCUUGAUCUUAGUUGCCAGCAUUCAGUUGGGCACUCUAAGGUGACUGCCGGUGACAAACCGGAGGAAGGUGGGGAUGACGUCAAAUCAUCAUGCCCCUUAUGACCUGGGCUACACACGUGCUACAAUGGAUGGUACAAAGGGCUGCAAAACCGCAAGGUCUAGCCAAUCCCAUAAAACCCAUUCUCAGUUCGGAUUG